Molecule: non-coding RNA, 111 nt
Organism: Capsicum annuum
Lineage: Eukaryota; Viridiplantae; Streptophyta; Magnoliopsida; Solanales; Solanaceae
Source: Rfam
AGACUGUUAGUGAUGUGGACAAUCUAAAAAAAGAGCCAUGAAGCAUUCCUAAGCAUGAUAGAGGUUUUCAUCAGGCUUUUGUUUGAAGCUCACUAUCUCACUGCAAAGUCU